RNAcentral lists this non-coding RNA (30 nucleotides) under Rattus norvegicus (Norway rat). The record is from RNAcentral. Lineage: Eukaryota; Metazoa; Chordata; Mammalia; Rodentia; Muridae.
UGAGCUUCAUGUAUAGUUGAAGUCCACAAA